Molecule: ribosomal RNA, 461 nt
Filed under: uncultured bacterium
Lineage: Bacteria
Description: partial 16S ribosomal RNA
Rfam family: Bacterial small subunit ribosomal RNA
Source: RNAcentral
CCUACGGGUGGCAGCAGUGAGGAAUAUUGGUCAAUGGGCUUACGCCUGAACCAGCCAAGUCGCGUGAGGGAAGACUGCCCUAUGGGUUGUAAACCUCUUUUGUCAGGGAGCAACGCCGGCUACGUGUAGCCGGACUGAGAGUACCUGAAGAAAAAGCAUCGGCUAACUCCGUGCCAGCAGCCGCGGUAAUACGGAGGAUGCGAGCGUUAUCCGGAUUUAUUGGGUUUAAAGGGAGCGUAGGCCGCAUGUCAAGCGUGCUGUGAAAUGUCCGGGCUCAACCCGGGCCUUGCAGCGCGAACUGGCGUGCUUGAGUCCGCGGAAAGCAGGCGGAAUUCGUCGUGUAGCGGUGAAAUGCUUAGAUAUGACGAAGAACCCCGAUUGCGAAGGCAGCUUGCUGCAGCGGAACUGACGCUGAUGCUCGAAAGCGCGGGUAUCGAACAGGAUUAGAUACCCGGGUAGUC